RNAcentral lists this long non-coding RNA (1187 nucleotides) under Canis lupus dingo (dingo). RNAcentral's name for it is "lncRNA (ENSCAFG00020020625.1)". The record is from RNAcentral. Lineage: Eukaryota; Metazoa; Chordata; Mammalia; Carnivora; Canidae.
AAAUCUUGAGGGGCCUACAGAGCGCAGAGCACAUUUGUAUGCAUCGUUAGGACUCGCUAAUACCUAAGCCCAUUAACGAGCGUGUAUGCGCGUGGUUUCCGGUGUGUAUUAACUUAUAGUUAAAUUCUGGAGGAAAGGGCAUUGUGAAUUAACAUAUACCAAAUCCAUCACCGGCUUUUGUCAUAUCAUAUUAGUCAGCCAUGAGUUUUGGGGAGCAGGUUGCUAGAUUUGGGGUGUACCCACCCUCCAAACUUUCUGGAGCGAGUCUGGGGGGUGGGUUUAGGGGAAGACAGACACCCCUAUUCCAGCCCCGGUCAUUCAGGGACUCCUGGCCCGUGGCCGCGGACCUGCAGGAUGGUGGAGGGGCUGGGGACCGCCCGGAGGCUUUGGGCGGUGGAGGGAGGCCGCGGGCCAGGGGGAGGCCCUGAGGGCUGCAGGGCUGCAGGCCAGGACCGUGCUGGGGCCGCUUGGGCCACGGGGACGCUUGGGCCGUCUGGUUUCCGCUUUGGAAGAGAGAAGAGAAAAGGUUCUGUGUUUUCUCUGUUCCCGCUGCAGGACGUGGCCCAGCACCCGGGGCAGAGGCUGAGGGCAGGGCAGGCUGGCGGCAGGCCGGGCCCAGGCUCCAGAGGGCGCGACGGACAGUCAGUCGUUGAGGGCGCUCAGCUGGGCCGCUCCAGUCCUCUCCGAGCCGCCCUCGAGGAAAUCCUAACCAGCUCUCACAAACAUGUCAAGCCCAAAGCUGCUGUGUGUGUUUGAGCGGAGCUUCAGACAGCUACUUAACACCGGGGCCUCCGGGCCUUUGAUUCCUGCGCCCCUCGCCUUGCCCUCUCCCCCCGUCUGGCUGGUGUUUAUCGGCCAAGACGAUGUUUAAAUCACACUCGUUUCCUAUAAACAUUUCACUUGAAAUGCCAUCCGCUGCCCCAGAAAUUCAUCUAUCACCAGCUCGGGGUGUACUUGAGGAGCCUCCGGGCGAUGCUCCCCGUCUCUGUCCCCUGCCCCCCACCCCGCCUCCCCGACCCAUAUUCUCAGGUUUCACGCUGUAAGAACAACUUCCCCUCGGUGUAACAGGGCACUUAGUGCCAGGAUUAUUUAUAAGGCCGAGAUGGCAACGGGCGGUGGGGAGCAGCCCGGCCCGUGGACACUUCCUCUUGCAAAGCUCAAUAAACGGCCUGGAACGCUGUGUGCCA